AAUCGAUAUUUUCAUAUAUACGGAAGCUUGUGACAUUAGAUUAGGGGGUCCUGAAACGCCUGUCGUCUGGUGGCAUGAACCUGACGGAAGUCUCGUCAAAAGUUCCUCGGGAAGCAGUAAAACCAACAGAACCAGAACCCCGCGUGAGCGCAGUUGUCGAUGCGAUUUCUGACCACUCGGAAGCGUUUCGCAACUGGUUUUGGGAAGCAGAAUUUCGCUUGAAAUUUAUUGUCAUUCUGAGCAUAAUUAUUGUUGUUAAUAGUAUCCUCAUAAAAAUUGCUUGGGCCAUUUACGGCGAAAGGAUUGUCGAUUUCUUUAAGAAACAAGGUGUAUCAGAGACAGGAUACACACAAGAUUCAGCUCCUGUAGACACAAAAGACAGCGUGAAUUCCACUCCUCGUUCUCAGCACUUGAAAAGAGAGUAACACAUUUUCAAGAAACAGAAAGUUAAUUGACCAUCAUGGCAGCUAUCAAACGAUUUUUUGAGAAGAAAAAACUAGAUGUCAAGUUCAAGAAGGCUGGUUCUGGCCACAAACUGACAGAGGACACCAGGAGCUUGUCACCACAGCCAAGUCAACGCCCUGGCACCAGUCAGGGGCGGCCUCAGGCUGAAAGCGAGGCUGCACGAGCUGCACGGGAGGCAGCUCUGGCUAGGAUGUCCCAGCCAAGACCAGGUACUGCAAAUAACCAGCUGAAGGCCCUGAAGUC
Molecule: long non-coding RNA, 708 nt
Organism: Lingula anatina
Lineage: Eukaryota; Metazoa; Brachiopoda; Lingulata; Lingulida; Lingulidae
Source: RefSeq, a predicted model, not a curated record